AAAACCCACAGGUGUAGGAGCAUGCAGGAAAAUUAAAAAGAAAAAGUAUAUAGGUAAAAGUAAAAAAAUCAUAAAGUUGAAAGUUAGGUUUGUCCUUUGGGUCAGGAUUGAUUGAUAUAUAAAUAGCGCUGCGGUGAAGUUGUAGAACUAAGAAGAAACAAUAAAGAAGGAGAAGGGGGAGAGGGAGAUAGAGAGCUACUGGAAGUUGUAGGAAUGGGCGGUUUGGGAAAAAAUCAUAUACAUAAAUACGAUAACAGAUUACGUCGAAAAUCAAAUUAAGUGUAUACAAGUUUUCUUCCCAAUGUCGCCCAUUCCGAUGAUUUCCAGAAGCUCCUCCCUUUCCCUUCUGUUCUCUGCGAUACUCUUUCCCUACUCUAUAUCCAUCACUUUUCAAUUCUUAAUUUUCUUAUGUUUUCUUUGAUCGAUUGAGAUCAUUAAUCAGUUUCUUUACCAUGUUGCAGGCUGAAAGACAAGCUUAUCUAAGAAAUUCCACACUCCAUCAGAUCAUUGAUCUUGCAGAUCAGGGAACUGGGAAUGCGAAGGUCUCAGGAUUUACGGCAUGGCUACCUCUAUUUUCCAUUUAUUUAUUAUUAUUAUUAUGCACAAUUGCAGUAAUUUCCUCUUUGUACUUUCUAUAUGUGAUAAAUAAAUUUUAUUGAUGAA
This is a long non-coding RNA of Manihot esculenta (cassava), 663 nucleotides long. RefSeq lists it as uncharacterized. The transcript is spliced from 2 exons. The record is from RefSeq and is a predicted model, not a curated record. NCBI's taxonomy places the organism in Eukaryota, Viridiplantae, Streptophyta, Magnoliopsida, Malpighiales, Euphorbiaceae.